This is a non-coding RNA of Cenococcum geophilum 1.58, 71 nucleotides long. The record is from the annotation of a GenBank genome assembly. NCBI's taxonomy places the organism in Eukaryota, Fungi, Ascomycota, Dothideomycetes, Gloniales, Gloniaceae.
AAGAGUAUAGUUUAAUGGUAAAAUAGGAAGCUUNAAACUUCAAAUUUCCAGUUCAAGUCUGGAUGCUCUUG